Molecule: long non-coding RNA, 3921 nt
Organism: Leptopilina boulardi
Lineage: Eukaryota; Metazoa; Arthropoda; Insecta; Hymenoptera; Figitidae
Exons: 11
Source: RefSeq, a predicted model, not a curated record
UUUCUACACUUUUAGGUGUAUUUUGUGCAAGAAUAUGCAAUAAAAUCGUCUGCCUAAGAAAAAUUGAAUUUUUUUAGAAAUUUUUUUUUGGACCUGGAUGACUUUUUGGUGGUAAUAGAGGUCUUCCUCUACUCGGAUUCAGCUGUCGAUUUUUUUCUACACUUUUAGGUGUAUUUUGUGCAAGAAUAUGCAAUAAAAUUGUCUGCCUAAGAAAAAUUGAUAUUUUUCGGAAAUUUUUUUUUGGACCUGGAUGACUUUUUGUUGGUAAUUGGGGUCUUCCUCUACUCGAAUAUGGCUGUCGAUUUUUUUCUACACUUUUAGGUGUAUUUUGUGCAAGAAUAUGCAAUAAAAUCGUCUGCCUAAGAAAAAUUGAAUUUUUUUGGAAAUUUUUUUUUGGACCUGGAUGACUUUUUGGUGGUAAUAGAGGUCUUCCUCUACUCGGAUUCAGCUGUCGAUUUUUUUCUACACUUUUAGGUGUAUUUUGUGCAAGAAUAUGCAAUAAAAUCGUCUGCCUAAGAAAAAUUGAAUUUUUUUGGAAAUUUUUUUUUGGACCUGGAUGACUUUUUGGUGGUAAUAGAGGUCUUCCUCUACUCGGAUUCAGCUGUCGAUUUUUUUCUACACUUUUAGGUGUAUUUUGUGCAAGAAUAUGCAAUAAAAUCGUCUGCCUAAGAAAAAUUGAAUUUUUUUGGAAAUGUUUUUUUUAACCUGGAUGACUUUUUGGUGGUAAUAGAGGUCUUCCUCUACUCGGAUUUGGCUGUCGAUUUUUUUCUACACUUUUAGGUGUAUUUUGUGCAAGAAUAUGCAAUAAAAUCGUCUGCCUAAGAAAAAUUGAAUUUUUUUGGAAAUUUUUUUUUGGACCUGGAUGACUUUUUGGUGGUAAUAGAGGUCUUCCUCUACUCGGAUUUGGCUGUUUAUUUUUUUCUACACUUUUAGGUGUAUUUUGUGCAAGAAUAUGCAAUAAAAUCGUCUGCCUAAGAAAAAUUGAAUUUUUUUGGAAAUUUUUUUUUGGACCUGGAUGACUUUUUGGUGGUAAUAGAGGUCUUCCUCUACUCGGAUUUGGCUGUCGAUUUUUUUCUACACUUUUAGGUGUAUUUUGUGCAAGAAUAUGCAAUAAAAUCGUCUGCCUAAGAAAAAUUGAAUUUUUUUGGAAAUUUUUUUUUGGACCUGGAUGACUUUUUGGUGGUAAUAGAGGUCUUCCUCUACUCGGAUUUGGCUGUCGAUUUUUUCUACACUUUUAGGUGUAUUUUGUGCAAGAAUAUGCAAUAAAAUCGUCUGCCUAAGAAAAAUUGAAUUUUUUUGGAAAUUUUUUUUUGGACCUGGAUGACUUUUUGGUGGUAAUAGAGGUCUUCCUCUACUCGGAUUUGGCUGUCGAUUUUUUUCUACACUUUUAGGUGUAUUUUGUGCAAGAAUAUGCAAUAAAAUCGUCUGCCUAAGAAAAAUUGAAUUUUUUUGGAAAUUUUUUUUUGGACCUGGAUGACUUUUUGGUGGUAAUAGAGGUCUUCCUCUACUCGGAUUUGGCUGUCGAUUUUUUUCUACACUUUUAGGUGUAUUUUGUGCAAGAAUAUGCAAUAAAAUCGUCUGCCUAAGAAAAAUUGAAUUUUUUUGGAAAUUUUUUUUUGGACCUGGAUGACUUUUUGGUGGUAAUAGAGGUCUUCCUCUACUCGGAUUUGGCUGUCGAUUUUUUUCUACACUUUUAGGUGUAUUUUGUGCAAGAAUAUGCAAUAAAAUCGUCUGCCUAAGAAAAAUUGAAUUUUUUUGGAAAUUUUUUUUUGGACCUGGAUGACUUUUUGGUGGUAAUAGAGGUCUUCCUCUACUCGGAUUUGGCUGUCGAUUUUUUUCUACACUUUUAGGUGUAUUUUGUGCAAGAAUAUGCAAUAAAAUCGUCUGCCUAAGAAAAAUUGAAUUUUUUUGGAAAUUUUUUUUUGGACCUGGAUGACUUUUUGGUGGUAAUAGAGGUCUUCCUCUACUCGGAUUUGGCUGUCGAUUUUUUUCUACACUUUUAGGUGUAUUUUGUGCAAGAAUAUGCAAUAAAAUCGUCUGCCUAAGAAAAAUUGAAUUUUUUUGGAAAUUUUUUUUUGGACCUGGAUGACUUUUUGGUGGUAAUAGAGGUCUUCCUCUACUCGGAUUUGGCUGUCGAUUUUUUUCUACACUUUUAGGUGUAUUUUGUGCAAGAAUAUGCAAUAAAAUCGUCUGCCUAAGAAAAAUUGAAUUUUUUUGGAAAUGUUUUUUUGGACCUGGAUGACUUUUUGGUAAUAAUAGAGGUCUUCCUCUACUCGGAUUUGGCUGUUGAUUUUUUUCUACACUUUUAGGUGUAUUUUGUGCAAGAAUAUGCAAUAAAAUCGUCUGCCUAAGAAAAAUUGAAUUUUUUUGGAAAUUUUUUUUUGGACCUGGAUGACUUUUUGGUGGUAAUAGAGGUCUUCCUCUACUCGGAUUCAGCUGUCGAUUUUUUUCUACACUUUUAGGUGUAUUUUGUGCAAGAAUAUGCAAUAAAAUCGUCUGCCUAAGAAAAAUUGAAUUUUUUUGGAAAUUUUUUUUUGGACCUGGAUGACUUUUUGGUGGUAAUAGAGGUCUUCCUCUACUCGGAUUCAGCUGUCGAUUUUUUUCUACACUUUUAGGUGUAUUUUGUGCAAGAAUAUGCAAUAAAAUCGUCUGCCUAAGAAAAAUUGAAUUUUUUUGGAAAUGUUUUUUUUAACCUGGAUGACUUUUUGGUGGUAAUUGGGGUCUUCCUCUACUCGGAUUUGGCUGUUGAUUUUUUUCUACACUUUUAGGUGUAUUUCGUGCAAGAAUAUGCAAUAAAAUCGUCUGCCUAAGAAAAAUUGAAUUUUUUUAAAAAUUUUUUUUUGGAGCUGGAUGACUUUUUGGUGGUAAUAGUGGUCUUCCUCUACUCGGAUUUGGCUGUCGAUUUUUUUCUACACUUUUAGGUGUAUUUUGUGCAAGAAUAUGCAAUAAAAUCGUCUGCCUAAGAAAAAUUGAAUUUUUUUGGAAAUUUUUUUUUGGACCUGGAUGACUUUUUGGUGGUAAUAGAGGUCUUCCUCUACUCGGAUUUGGCUGUCGAUUUUUUUCUACACUUUUAGGUGUAUUUUGUGCAAGAAUAUGCAAUAAAAUCGUCUGCCUAAGAAAAAUUGAAUUUUUUUGGAAAUUUUUUUUUGGUCCUGGAUGACUUUUUGGUGGUAAUAGUUGUCUUCCUCUACUCGGAUUUGGCUGUCGAUUUUUUUCUACACUUUUAGGUGUAUUUUGUGCAAGAAUAUGCAAUAAAAUCGUCUGCCUAAGAAAAAUUGAAUUUUUUUGGAAAUGUUUUUUUUUACCUGGAUGACUUUUUGGUGGUAAUAGAGGUCUUCCUCUACUCGGAUUUGGCUGUCGAUUUUUUUCUACACUUUUAUGUGUAUUUUGUGCAAAAAUACUGAAUAAAAUCGUCUGCCUAAGAAAAAUUGAAUUUUUUUGGAAAUGUUUUUUUUGACCUGGAUGACUUUUUGGUGGUAAUAGUUGUCUUCCUCUACUCGGAUUUGGCUGUCGAUUUUUUUCUACACUUUGAGGUGUAUUUUGUGCAAGAAUAUGCAAUAAAAUCGUCUGCCUAAGAAAAAUUGAAUUUUUUUGGAAAUGUUUUUUUUGGUCCUGGAUGACUUUUUGGUGGUAAUAGAGGUCUUCCUCUACUCUGAUUCAGCUGUCGAUUUUUUUCUACACUUUUAGGUGUAUUUUGUGCAAGAAUAUGCAAUAAAAUCGUCUGCCUAAGAAAAAUUGAAUUUUUUUGGAAAUGUUUUUUUUGACCUGGAUGACUUUUUGGUGGUAAUAGAGGUCUUCCUCUACUCUGAUUCAGCUGUCGAUUUUUUUCUACACUUUUAGGUGUAUUUUGUGCAAGAAUAUGCAAUAAAAUCGUCUGCCUAAGAAAAAUUGAAUUUUUUUGGAAAUGUUUUUUUUGACCUG